Molecule: transfer RNA, 72 nt
Filed under: Exaiptasia diaphana
Lineage: Eukaryota; Metazoa; Cnidaria; Anthozoa; Actiniaria; Aiptasiidae
Description: tRNA-Ala
Rfam family: tRNA
About the family: Transfer RNA (tRNA) molecules are approximately 80 nucleotides in length. Their secondary structure includes four short double-helical elements and three loops (D, anti-codon, and T loops).
Source: Rfam by way of RNAcentral
GGGGAUGUAGCUCAGUGGUAGAGCGUCCGCUUUGCAUGCGGAAGGUCCGGGGAUCGAUCCCCUGCAUCUCCA